UAGCGGCAGGCCUAACACAUGCAAGUCGAGGGGUAACAGGAAAGCUUGCUUUCGYYGACGACCGGCGCACGGGUGCGUAACGCGUAUGCAACUUGCYYUCAACUGGGAAAUAGCCCGGAGAAAUUCGGAUUAAUGCCCCAUAGUAUCAUAUCACUGCAUGGUGAUGUGUUUAAAGCUUCGGCGGUUGAGGAUGGGCAUGCGUCCUAUUAGCUUGUUGGUGAGGUAACGGCUCACCAAGGCUGCGAUAGGUAGGGGGCCUGAGAGGGUAAUCCCCCACACUGGUACUGAGACACGGACCAGACUCCUACGGGAGGCAGCAGUGAGGAAUAUUGGUCAAUGGACGAAAGUCUGAACCAGCCAUGCCGCGUGCAGGAUGACGGCCCUAUGGGUUGUAAACUGCUUUUAUAAGGGAAUAAACCCCCCGACGUGUCGGGGGCUGAAGGUACCUUACGAAUAAGGAUCGGCUAACUCCGUGCCAGCAGCCGCGGUAAUACGGAGGAUCCAAGCGUUAUCCGGAUUCAUUGGGUUUAAAGGGUCCGCAGGCGGGUUAUUAAGUCAGUGGUGAAAUCCUGCAGCUUAACUGUAGAACUGCCAUUGAUACUGGUAAUCUUGAGUGUGGUUGAAGUGGGCGGAAUGUGUCAUGUAGCGGUGAAAUGCAUAGAUAUGACACAGAACACCGAUUGCGAAGGCAGCUCACUAAGCCAUUACUGACGCUCAGGGACGAAAGCGUGGGGAGCGAACAGGAUUAGAUACCCUGGUAGUCCACGCCGUAAACGAUGAUCACUCGCUGUUGGCGAUACACAGUCAGCGGCCAAGCGAAAGCAUUAAGUGAUCCACCUGGGGAGUACGCCGGCAACGGUGAAACUCAAAGGAAUUGACGGGGGCCCGCA
This 890-nucleotide ribosomal RNA is filed under the name uncultured Bacteroidota bacterium. Its description in RNAcentral is "bacterial SSU rRNA". It matches the Rfam family "Bacterial small subunit ribosomal RNA", at positions 37 to 925 of the family's 1533-position model. Lineage: Bacteria; Pseudomonadati; Bacteroidota. The record is from RNAcentral.